AAAGAACUCCAAGAUGGUACAGUUUGGAGAUGGAAGCCUCCCGGGCCACUUGGAGAAGAGACUUACAAGAUUGUUUCCCAAUUAUCCUCUGACAGUGACAUGCACAACAGGUAACCUUGGGUGGCUGUAGAGACCUGUUAAUUGUGCCUUGCAACCUCCGUGAAAACCUUCACCAAAUGUGCAUUGCUGAGGAAAUGAAGAACGUUGCAUUCAAAACCUCAUUUCCCCUCUUAACUACGAGGGGUUUCUGCAUCAAAGGGCUUCAAACCCAGAUUUCCACCUUGUAAAAACUCAGCCUAUGAGCGGAGCCCCCUAUGAGCCAGCAGAGGGCGCUGCUACCCUUUGUAAGAAGCACUUGGGUCUCACCCGAAGACGGACAUCUGGACCCUGAACCAAAGAUGAUCAAGUCUCAUGUUUGUGACACUCCAGUUACAAACCUGAAAAGGGAAAGAUUUACGAUGGUAUAAUUUAUAUGCUUUCUUUAAAAGUCACAUGAAG
This is a non-coding RNA of Microcebus murinus (gray mouse lemur), 498 nucleotides long. The record is from RefSeq and is a predicted model, not a curated record. Lineage: Eukaryota; Metazoa; Chordata; Mammalia; Primates; Cheirogaleidae.